CUAAGGAGCUCACAGCGCUGCGUGUCCUGGUCUCACCCUGUGGGGUGGGGUUGGGGUGUGUGGUUGUGGCCUCGGUCGUCGCCGUUCGUGUGGCGCGGGGUUUGCUCAUGGGUGGAACGCUGAUGUUCGUGUGUCUGGUGCUGUCGCCCUGUGUGGUGGUGGUGGUGGGUGUGUCGGUGCACUGUUGGGUCCUGAGGGAACACGCGACCUCCGCCUUGUGUGGUGGGGGGUGUUGUCUUGGUGGCGGCUUCUGCCUUGGUGUUCAUACCAGUUUGCCUCUUGUUUUGUGGGGGGUGGGUGUUGGUGGGCAUGGUGGGGUGGGGGUUGUGUGUUGUUUGAGAACUGCACAGUGGACGCGAGCAUCUUUGUG
Molecule: unclassified non-coding RNA, 370 nt
Filed under: uncultured bacterium
Lineage: Bacteria
Description: 16S-23S ribosomal RNA intergenic spacer
Source: RNAcentral